GACAGAGGGUGCAAACGUUGUUCGGAUUUACUGGGCGUAAAGCGUACGCAGACGGUGAGAAAGGUCGGAUGUGAAAGCCCCGGGCUCAACCCGGGAACUGCAUCCGAAACCAUCUCGCUCGAGUAUGGGAGAGGGAAGCGGAAUUCCUGGUGUAGAGGUGAAAUUCGUAGAUAUCAGGAGGAACACCGGCGGCGAAGGCGGCUUCCUGGCCCAUUACUGACGUUCAGGUACGAAAGCGUGGGUAGCAAACAGG
This 253-nucleotide ribosomal RNA is filed under the name uncultured bacterium. RNAcentral's name for it is "partial 16S ribosomal RNA". It matches the Rfam family "Bacterial small subunit ribosomal RNA", at positions 524 to 776 of the family's 1533-position model. The record is from RNAcentral.